RNAcentral lists this ribosomal RNA (274 nucleotides) under uncultured bacterium. Its description in RNAcentral is "partial 16S ribosomal RNA". It matches the Rfam family "Bacterial small subunit ribosomal RNA", at positions 523 to 796 of the family's 1533-position model. The record is from RNAcentral.
AUACGGAGGGUGCGAGCGUUAAUCGGAAUUACUGGGCGUAAAGCGCGCGUAGGCGGCUACUUAAGUCAGAUGUGAAAUCCCCGGGCUCAACCUGGGAACUGCAUCUGAUACUGGGUAGCUAGAGUUUAGGAGAGGGAAGUAGAAUUUCAGGUGUAGCGGUGAAAUGCAUAGAGAUCUGAAGGAAUACCAGUGGCGAAGGCGGCUUCCUGGCCUAAAACUGACGCUGAGGUGCGAAAGCGUGGGUAGCAAACGGGAUUAGAAACCCCGGUAGUCC